Molecule: unclassified non-coding RNA, 168 nt
Filed under: uncultured Leptodontidium
Lineage: Eukaryota; Fungi; Ascomycota
Description: sequence contains ITS1
Source: RNAcentral
CAGAGUUCAUGCCCUAACGGGUAGAUCUCCCACCCUUGUGUAUCAUUACCUUUGUUGCUUUGGCAGGCCGUCAGGCUUCGGCCCGGCUACCGGCUCCGGCUGGUAAGCGCCUGCCAGAGGACCCCAACUCUUGUGUUUAGUGUCGUCUGAGUACUAUAUAAUAAGUUA